Molecule: ribosomal RNA, 253 nt
Filed under: uncultured bacterium
Lineage: Bacteria
Description: partial 16S ribosomal RNA
Rfam family: Bacterial small subunit ribosomal RNA
Source: RNAcentral
UACGUAGGGGGCAAGCGUUGUCCGGAAUCAUUGGGCGUAAAGAGCUCGUAGGUGGUUUGUCGCGUUGUUCGUGAAAACUCACAGCUCAACUGUGGGCGUGCGGGCGAUACGGGCAGACUUGAGUACUGCAGGGGAGACUGGAAUUCCUGGUGUAGCGGUGGAAUGCGCAGAUAUCAGGAGGAACACCGGUGGCGAAGGCGGGUCUCUGGGCAGUAACUGACGCUGAGGAGCGAAAGCGUGGGGAGCGAGCAGG